Molecule: microRNA precursor, 88 nt
Filed under: Notamacropus eugenii (tammar wallaby)
Lineage: Eukaryota; Metazoa; Chordata; Mammalia; Diprotodontia; Macropodidae
Description: miRNA (ENSMEUG00000016977.1)
Source: RNAcentral
UGUGUGUAUGUGUGUGUGCAUGUACAUGCACACACAUGAUGUGUAUAUAUACAUACAUAUACACAUGUACAUGUGUACACAGGACACA